Molecule: ribosomal RNA, 253 nt
Filed under: uncultured prokaryote
Description: partial 16S ribosomal RNA
Rfam family: Bacterial small subunit ribosomal RNA
Source: RNAcentral
UACGUAGGGGGCAAGCGUUGUCCGGAUUUAUUGGGCGUAAAGAGCGUGUAGGCGGCUUGGCAAGUCUGCUGUGAAAACUCGAGGCUCAACCUCGAGCUGUCGGUGGAAACUGCCUGGCUAGAGUCCGGAAGAGGAGAGUGGAAUUCCUGGUGUAGCGGUGGAAUGCGCAGAUAUCAGGAGGAACACCUAUGGCGAAGGCAGCUCUCUGGGACGGUACUGACGCUGAGACGCGAAAGCGUGGGGAGCAAACAGG